This is a long non-coding RNA of Nymphaea colorata (pocket water lily), 1365 nucleotides long. RefSeq lists it as uncharacterized. The record is from RefSeq and is a predicted model, not a curated record. NCBI's taxonomy places the organism in Eukaryota, Viridiplantae, Streptophyta, Magnoliopsida, Nymphaeales, Nymphaeaceae. The transcript is spliced from 2 exons.
AUGUGAUCCACAGGCUGCACAUGCUGGUCACUCGACCAACAGGAAGAUGAAGGAACCCCUCCUGUCAAGCUCUCCGACUCCCUGAUGAUCAGUCCUCCUUCAGUUUCACCACCGCUGCUCCAUGACUUCAGAUCAUACCAAAUGCAGGAUUCUAAUCAGCAGUUUCGACCCCAUUCCCCAAAGUGAGCCUUGAAUAUCAGCAUUAAAUAGAGAACAAAGCUGGAGCUCAGGAUCGCUUGAGCUAAUUUUCUUACGUUGGUUGAUUCCCAGAAAUCUGGAGAAACAAAGCUUCCUUUCUUUCAAGAAUGAUCAACUGUUAGGUUAAAUGAUUUUACGCCCUUGAGAAAAAUAUACGGCCGAUAUGGGUGGGGCAUUGAUUUACAGGCCAUUCCAUCUUCUUUAGUUAUCUAGAAUGCAGCUCCAACCCUGUCCUUGUCCGUUGGUGUCAUGGCUUUGCCCCUUUGUGAAUGAUGCCUCACGUGUCAAGUCUUUUUCUAAAAUAAAGUUGAAUAUGACUUGCAAAAUAUCGAAAUCCAUAUGAAAGGGGCUUUUUGUUUUCAUUUUACAUUAUUUUCCCAAUUACUGGAGUUUUCCUCUUCGGUCCUUGCAAGGGGCUUUACUUUUUGACUUGGCGACUAAGUUCAAAUAUCUGACUGUAACUUCUUCGUUUUUUCGAUGUUUUGGUGAUAAAAAAUAAAACAAAAUCACUUUGAGGAAAACUGUAAAGAAACUAACGGCAAUGCAUGGAACAAAGAGAAAGAAAAUUUAUUUUAAGUGUUAACGAGCUGCUCCGGUGAGAUAGGGGCACAGUAAAAUAUAAUGUUCCAUAUCAAAGUUACCAAGCUGGUUUUAUGCACUGUCCCAUGCAAAAAAAAAAAAAUUGUGCACUCGAGAUAUAAUGUUCGGAAUACCCCUGAUCAGUAAAAAGUGGGAAACCUUUCUAAGGAGAAAAAUAGGUAGUAAAAAAGUUGAAUGUCCAACAAAAACUUCCUUUUUUUUUGAAAAAUCUCCAAAAGGCCCAACUUUUCCUUCUUUUGCUUUUGGGUGCAUAUCUGACACUCUCUGCAGUAACAGAAUCUUUCAUCUACUCAAAGUUACAUAUACAGAGUUUAGGUUCUGUGUGGAGCUAUAUAGUGAUGGGCCAGAAACACAUCUGCAAGAGUUUGUAUUUUUCCUUUCUUUUUACUGCCCGCCUCAUGUUGGGGUAUUUUACCUCUGAAGACUUUGUCAAGUUUUAAAAAUUUCAAGAUGUACUCAUAAUCGAAAUCGGUACAAGAAAGCAUGGGCAUCUAUAGUGUGAUUAAUAUUGAUGGAGAAGAUCCAAAACAGUGGCGUAUGAAUAUUAUGAUGCCGAUGUUUAUUGUC